This 342-nucleotide ribosomal RNA is filed under the name uncultured bacterium. RNAcentral describes it as "bacterial LSU rRNA". It matches the Rfam family "Bacterial large subunit ribosomal RNA", at positions 114 to 469 of the family's 2925-position model. The record is from RNAcentral.
CCGAAUGGGGAAACCCACUAUAUUGAAGAUAUAGUACCCGACUUGUCGGGGGCAAACCCGGAGAACUGAAACAUCUAAGUAUCCGGAGGAGAAGAAAACAAAAGUGAUUCCGUAAGUAGCGGCGAGCGAACGCGGAGUAGCCCAAACCCAAUUUGUUAAGGCAAAUUGGGGGUAAUAGGACCUCGAUAUUCAAUGCUUGCAGAACUAGAAACUACUGGAAAGUAGUACCACAGAGGGUGAUAGUCCCGUAUAGGUAAUAAGAGUUAUUGAUAGAGGUAUCCUGAGUAGUGCGGGGCACGUGAAACCUUGCAUGAAUUUGCCGGGACCAUCCGGUAAGGCUAA